RNAcentral lists this ribosomal RNA (518 nucleotides) under Sphaeroma walkeri. RNAcentral's name for it is "partial 16S ribosomal RNA". It matches the Rfam family "Bacterial large subunit ribosomal RNA", at positions 1796 to 2620 of the family's 2925-position model. Lineage: Eukaryota; Metazoa; Arthropoda; Malacostraca; Isopoda; Sphaeromatidae. The record is from RNAcentral.
UCGCCUGUUUAUCAAAAACAUCGCCGGGAAUGCUUCCGGUCUAUCUGCCCAGUGAGUCUCUUCAACGGCCGCAGUAUCCUAACUGUGCUAAGGUAGCAUAAUAAUUAGCCUCUUAAUUGGAGGCUCGUAUGAAAGAACCGACGAAAAGUGCCCUGUCUCAAUAGUUCUCCGAAAUUACUUAGAGAGUAAAAAAGCUCUCCUACCCUAGCAGGACGACAAGACCCUAUAAAACUUUACUUUCAACCCGUCCCAACCCAACGGCUAAAAAGUUAUACUGGGGCGGUAACCUUUACCCGAAACAAAGAGAAACCCAACAUCUUAAAUGAUAGUAACAAACACUUAUUAGUAAGAAAGAACAAGUUACUUUAGGGAUAACAGCGCAAUAUCUUUUCAGAGCCCUUAUCGACAAAGAUGUUUACGACCUCGAUGUUGAAUUGAAGAACCUUUUUGGAGCAGCCUCUGAAAAAGGAAGUCUGUUCGACUUUUAAUACUUCACAUGAUCUGAGNUUCAAACCGGA